CGAUGCAUACGCGGGGCGCGGCGUCGGCCGCGCGCUGAUGGCCGCGCUCGUCGACGGCGCGGACCGCGCGCUCGGCCUGCGCCGCAUCGA
This 90-nucleotide transfer RNA is filed under the name Burkholderia mallei. Its description in RNAcentral is "tRNA-Arg(gcg)". RNAcentral also lists the same sequence under 1 other name. The record is from RNAcentral. Lineage: Bacteria; Pseudomonadati; Pseudomonadota; Betaproteobacteria; Burkholderiales; Burkholderiaceae.